Callithrix jacchus (white-tufted-ear marmoset) is the source of this 148-nucleotide unclassified non-coding RNA. It matches the Rfam family "Metazoan signal recognition particle RNA". Rfam says of the family: The signal recognition particle (SRP) is a universally conserved ribonucleoprotein. It is involved in the co-translational targeting of proteins to membranes. NCBI's taxonomy places the organism in Eukaryota, Metazoa, Chordata, Mammalia, Primates, Cebidae. The record is from Ensembl.
GCCGGGCAUGGUGGCGUGUGCCUGUAAUCCCAGCUACUCGGGAGGCUGAGGCAGAAGAAUCUCUUGAGCCCGGGAGGCAGAGGUUGCAGUGAGUUAAGAUUGUGCCACUGUACUUCAGCCUGGGUGACAGAGUGAGACUCUGUCUCAA